CUGAACAACUCAAAGCGGUGAUGCUACGUCACGAUGCUCCCGUGCGCGUGUCGUUGCUCAUGCCCAUUCCUAGU
This 74-nucleotide small RNA is filed under the name Sinorhizobium meliloti 2011. RNAcentral's name for it is "putative ncRNA". The record is from RNAcentral. Lineage: Bacteria; Pseudomonadati; Pseudomonadota; Alphaproteobacteria; Hyphomicrobiales; Rhizobiaceae.